This 63-nucleotide transfer RNA is filed under the name Cavia porcellus (domestic guinea pig). It matches the Rfam family "tRNA". From Rfam's summary of the family: Transfer RNA (tRNA) molecules are approximately 80 nucleotides in length. Their secondary structure includes four short double-helical elements and three loops (D, anti-codon, and T loops). The record is from Rfam by way of RNAcentral. Lineage: Eukaryota; Metazoa; Chordata; Mammalia; Rodentia; Caviidae.
GGGGAUCUAACUUAGUGGCAAAGCGCCUGCCUUGCAAGCAGGCAGUAGUGAGUUUGAUCCCUG